UUGGUAUUUACAGUCGGUGUUCGAAUCACCGCAGGAUAAUUCUACUUUAAUACUAGC
Molecule: transfer RNA, 57 nt
Filed under: Fusarium acuminatum CS5907
Lineage: Eukaryota; Fungi; Ascomycota; Sordariomycetes; Hypocreales; Nectriaceae
Description: tRNA-Ser
Source: RNAcentral